Molecule: long non-coding RNA, 2783 nt
Organism: Cavia porcellus (domestic guinea pig)
Lineage: Eukaryota; Metazoa; Chordata; Mammalia; Rodentia; Caviidae
Exons: 3
Source: RefSeq, a predicted model, not a curated record
AGAAGGCUUUUGAUGGAAACAGAGUCCUUGGAAAGGAAUGAUAUUGUUCCUUCCCCAAGCGCAGAUUUGAAAAUUCCUUUAGCCAAAGAGAAGACACAGACAAAAAACGGAAAGUAGUCGUGAGUGAAGAGUUUCGAUGCUGAGUCAUUCUGAAGUCCUUCAGACAUACCAGGCUCACCCGCAAGUCUUUGGAGUCCCUCAGCACGGUUACCUAGCUGGAUGAUGCACGUGGAUGUGGCUUGACUUCUCAAGAGGAGAUUCCUUCGCACUUGUUACUGUACCCCUAGCUAAAAGAAUGGAGCUAACAACCUUGCACUUGCUGGGCAGGCUCAGUGCCACUGAGCUAUAUUCCUGAUGCAAGACCUCAAUUUUCAUCCUUUGAAGACCAGAAGACUGAGCCAAUUUUCUCAAUUUUCUUGAGAAAGAAAUUGUAAUGGUUGAUACAUUGUGUCAAGUUGAGAAGCUUGGAAAUUUAACUAAGAGACUGAGCAGGGAGCCAGGAUCCUUACUGUGUAAACAUCCUCAGCCUGUGCAAGAGGAGGACAAGGAGUUUUUGUGAGUGCUACACCCACUCUGGAGUUGGGAUGGCCUGCGUAGAAUAUGAGGGAAGAAAGGAUGCUCACGCACCCCUUUCUGCUCUUGUUGCUUUGCUGACUUCUGCCACCUUGAAUGGUGCCCCUGUGCCAUGCCACACUGUGUUGGAGCUAGCUGAGUAUGGACUGAAACCUCUAUGAACUGUGAUCUAAAUAAACCUUUGUUUCCUUCAUUUUGGGUGUCAGGUAUUGUAUCCCAGCAAUGAAGAAAAGUAACCAAGACUGAAACUGAUACCAGAGAGGUGGGGACAGGGCUGUGACUGUACCAGACAAGAGGUUCAAGAGGCUUUGGGAAUGGCUUGUGGGAAGAGCUUGGAAGAGUUCCCAGAUGUCGCCUGUAGAAGUAGCACUGGAAUGCCUGAGGCUGUUCUGCACGGGAGACUAUGGUCAGAGCUCAGAAGACUAGAAGGCCAAUAGAAAUCCUUCUUGUAAAGAUCAGGCACAGGAGCUUUCUGCUGGGAAGGACUGCAUUGGUUAUGGACUCCAGACAAUGUGUGUUACGGCUUAGUAGAAAGUUUGCAUUUUGCUCUUGCCCAGAGACUUUGCCUGAGACUAAGAUUAUAGGGGACAAAUAAUCUAGCAGAAGAAAUUUCAAGGCAGUCAAAUGUUGAGGCAUGGCUACUGUUGGGGGGCUUUUAGCCAGAUUCAUGUUCUGAAUCAAGAACAAAGAGCCCAGCAGGAUAAUUUAAAACAUGGUGAGUUUGGCCAGAAAGAAAGCUCCAAUAAAGCUGUGAACUGCAAAAGAAGAGCCGAGAAAAUCUUGAUUGUUGAGAAAGACCAGUAGAACAUUAAAGAUGGUCUGAAGGCAUCACAAAAAGUGGCAAGUCUUGAACCUGUGCAGCCUCAAAACUACAAAAGUGAACUAUGUUGCUUUGAGGUGAAAGCCACAGAACACAAUGUUCCAGAAUGUCAGUGGCCAUGCCGUGCUCCAGAAUGGCAACAGAAUAGAAAAUUCAUUCCUCAGAACUGGAUUCAGAGUGCCCAGUGAUCCUUGCACCCAAUCCCUACAGCCAAGAGAGAGGAAAGCCUGGCUACGGCUCCAACUAGCAACAGACCUCAGCAUCAUCCAUGUAGUGCUGGUUUUAGGUGCAUACAGAAUGCAAGAGUUCUGAGGUUAAAAAGGCUUCCACCCCUGAGAGAAUAUUGUGUGAAGUUGUGAGUGUGAAGUCACCAGACACCAGUGGAGACACCAGAAGUUUGGAAAAUCCAGGAACAUGAAUCAGCUAAGGAAAUCUGUAAGAAAGGAGCAAAGCCAUCCUAAGGGAGAAGCCAUGAGAGCUAUAACCACCAGAAGUGCCAUAGAGGUGGAGUCACCCAAGCCCUUUGGAGAUUGCAGUUUGCCAUAAAUUGCCUCAAAUGAUGUACAUGGAGUUACAGGACUUAAUGUUUACCCUGCUGGAUUUUGGAAUUGCUUUGGUCCCCUUCCUUUGUAUCCCCAUUUAUACCCUUUGGAAUGGUAAUGUUUAUCUUGUGCCACUGAACAUUGGAAGUGCUUAACUUUGUUUUCUUUUAUAGAGGGUCUUGCAGCUAAGAGUUUGUCUUACAUCUCAGAAGAGACUUGGGUCAUAAACUUUUCAGCGAUACUGAAACUGCUAGGAUGUUGGCAACUCUUACAGGUAGACUAAAUACCUUUUUCAUAAAGGGAUGUACAUGAGUCUUUCAGGGGGGUAACCAAAGGAAGAAUGUUAAGAUUCUAAUGUAAUAUAAUGUCGAUAGACUUAAUGCUGGUUCUUAAAGAUUGUUAAACCUGUAUUCCUGUAUUAUAAUGUUCAAGUUGUGAAAUGGUAAGAAUAAGCAUGUCUUUGUAUAUGGAGGUUGGUUUAAAGAAAUAUGUCUGGUUGCCAAGUUGACAAAAGGUGGAUUUUUAUGGCUGAUACAUUGUGUCAACUUGAGAAGUUUAGAAUUUUAACUAAAAGAUUCAUCCCGGAGCAGGGAUCCUUGCUUUGUAAACAUCCUCAUCUUAAGCAAGAGGAGGGCAAGGAAAUUUUGUGAGUGCUACACCCACCCUGGUUGAGGGAUGUCCUCUGUUGAAUGUAAGGGAGGAAAAGCCGUGCCCCUUUUGCUCUGUUGCUUUGCUCUCUUCUGCCCUGGAAGUGUUGCCUCUGUGCCAUGCCACUCUGCCUUGGAACCAGCUGAUUAUAGACUGAAACCUCCACAAACUGCAAGCUAAAUAAACCUUUUCUUCCUUCA